GAUGAACGCUGGCGGCGUGCUUAACACUUGCAAGUCGAACGGAAAGGCUCCUGCUUGCAGGGGUACUCGAGUGGCGAACGGGUGAGUAACACGUGGGUGAUCUGCCCUGCACUUCGGGAUAAGCCUGGGAAACUGGGUCUAAUACCGGAUAGGACGAUGGUUUGGAUGCCAUUGUGGAAAGUUUUUCGGUGUGGGAUGAGCUCGCGGCCUAUCAGCUUGUUGGUGGGGUAAUGGCCUACCAAGGCGUCGACGGGUAGCCGGCCUGAGAGGGUGUACGGCCACAUUGGGACUGAGAUACGGCCCAGACUCCUACGGGAGGCAGCAGUGGGGAAUAUUGCACAAUGGGCGCAAGCCUGAUGCAGCGACGCCGCGUGGGGGAUGACGGCCUUCGGGUUGUAAACUCCUUUCGCUAGGGACGAAGCGCAAGUGACGGUACCUGGAGAAGAAGCACCGGCUAACUACGUG
Molecule: ribosomal RNA, 465 nt
Filed under: uncultured bacterium
Lineage: Bacteria
Description: partial 16S ribosomal RNA
Rfam family: Bacterial small subunit ribosomal RNA
Source: RNAcentral